RNAcentral lists this ribosomal RNA (253 nucleotides) under uncultured bacterium. RNAcentral describes it as "partial 16S ribosomal RNA". It matches the Rfam family "Bacterial small subunit ribosomal RNA", at positions 524 to 776 of the family's 1533-position model. The record is from RNAcentral.
UACGUAGGGGGCAAGCGUUAUCCGGAUUUACUGGGUGUAAAGGGAGCGCAGGCGGUAUGGCAAGUCAGAUGUGAAAACCCAGGGCUCAACCCUGGGACUGCAUUUGAAACUGCCAUACUGGAGUGCCGGAGAGGUAAGUGGAAUUCCUAGUGUAGCGGUGAAAUGCGUAGAUAUUAGGAGGAACACCAGUGGCGAAGGCGGCUUACUGGACGGUAACUGACGCUGAGGCUCGAAAGCGUGGGGAGCAAACAGG